Long non-coding RNA from Carassius auratus (goldfish), 3031 nucleotides. RefSeq lists it as uncharacterized. The record is from RefSeq and is a predicted model, not a curated record. Lineage: Eukaryota; Metazoa; Chordata; Actinopteri; Cypriniformes; Cyprinidae. The transcript is spliced from 7 exons.
AAUGCCCAAAGAGAAAUAACAGCUGUCACGUUCAGGAUUCUGAAAACAACAACAACAACAACAAAAAAGCAUGUUUUUUUUUCUCUACAUAUGUUAGACUACAUAUGCUAAUAUAUAAAUUCAGAAAAAAAUACAAUAAUUUUAGCUUUCUGAAACUACAAGCAAAUAUCUUACCCACCUUCAAUGGGCCACUGUGCUUCAAUCAGAGGGUGCCGUUUAUAUAGUGUUGUUACUGAACAGUCAGCAGAACUGUCCAGCUUGAUUUGGUCAUGUAAUUCUGCUUGGUUUAUGGUAAUGUAACUCUGUCCUAGAGGAAAAUAGAAAGACAGCAAGUUGCCAUUCAUUUUUUGGGCUUGCUUUAAGAUGCAGGGUUUUUAAUUGUUAAUAUUGUUUACUUCAUCUAAGAACAAUUUUCUACACAAAAUGUUCAUAAUAUUGAAAUGUUUUCAUGUUAAAGAAAUCACAUACUCAUAGACUUUUGGAUUAUGUACUUUUUGGAUUAUGUAUGUUUAAACAGUUUUACAAUCCAUGCUUUUUUUAGGCUGUACUGUUGUUUGAAUGUAGUUUUUCUUAUGUGAACCUGCUUAUUUGCAGUGUUUAAUUUGAUGGCAAGUCUUAUUUCAAUGUAUCAUCUUUAAAAUUAUUGGAACUUGGCACAGAGGAUUAACUUGGUUUGGAUGUGGAGAAGCAGUCAGCUGUCACUAGUUUUCAGUUUCAGCAGUGACAGCCAGACCAACAAAUCUGAUGACUAAAAUAUUUGAAGGGUUAUAUACAACUUACCUUUUGGGCAACCACUUGAUCACCUUAUACACAUUAAUUACCUUUCCUUUGUUCAGCAUGUUUCAGCAUUUGCUUUCAGACAUACAUUUUCCUCUUCAAAGUCAAAUAAAGUCAUGUAACAGUGUUUGCACAUGAAGUAAAGUUAUUCACAUAUUAGUUUAAAUGUUUUACAGAAUCAUGAAGAGCUUACUGUAUGUUAUAUUUAGUUCAAUCUCAGGCAUGUGAGAAGAGAUUUUUCUUCUUGACUAAUUUGAGAAGUUUGGCUAGCAGGACCAUUAAAACCUAGAAGAUUUAUUACCAGAGAUUUUCCAAAUGGAAAAUAAUAUCUCUGGCAGAUUUUUUAUUGGACAAUUAAAGCUCAGUGGUCACUGCAAUACUAAUCUUGUUUCAUGGUGAUAUUAUGACUCUCAAAGUUAUAAAAAGCAUGUUCUUAUAUGGAGAAAACAUUAAAUAUAGCACAGUGAGCUCUUCUGUUUGUAUUAGGGGGCAGUUGUGAUCUAAUGGUUAACGAGUCAGACUUGUAACCUAAGGUUGCAGGUUUGAGUCUUGGUACCAGCAGGGAUUGUAGGUGGGUGAUAUGAAUGACUAGUGCUCUCUUCCACCCUCAAUCUCACGACUGAGUUUAGACCCUUGAGCAAGAACCAAACGUCCAUAGACUCCCCAGAUCUCUCAUCUAGGCCACAGUGAAGACUUACCUGACCUAUCAUCACUCCAAAAUCUCUCAACAGUAUGUUCACCUUUUGUCUUCAUAUGUCAAUGAGCUGUGGGACAGUUGAGCACACUGAAAAUCCAUCCCUGGACAAGGCCGGAUCCACACUGAUGCUUUGCCCCUUCUUGCCAAGGGACCACACUAGAAGAGACACUGUUUUGGGGUGUACUUUUAACUACAACACGAGUGAAUAUCCUAGACAUUUGGCUGAGGGGGAAUGGGAAUCAGACGCCGCUCCACAACUAAUCCAGCUGGCACUCCACCAAUGCAGGCACGGCUGUGGAGGAGCUGUCAGAUGGCUCAGGAGUACAGUUUCAAGACAUCCAACUGGCCUCUUGAACCAAAUCAAGUAUGAACGGAUGGAUCUGACAUGGUUCCCUGACGAAAACAAAUCUGAUGGAAAAUCAACAUAUUCCUUUCAGACUGCACUUUUACAAGACAAAAGAGUGGUGUAGGUCUCUGAGUACCACAAAAGAGUCACAAAAGGUGAAUGCAAUAUGAGUGGUUAAAUUAAGAUGUGUUCAAUUAUAGCAGCAAAAGAGAGCAACAUUUCUUCCGAUUCCUUCAAGACCCUGGGUCUUCUAUCAGCAGAAGUGAGACUCUUCAUAGAAUAACAGAGGGUUUACUCAAGAGAUCCAAAGGAUAGCAGACCAUAUAAGCUCUGGAAAAUGUGUCACCCUUUGAGAUCUUCAGUGUUUCUUUGAGGAGUUCUAGUGUGAUUUCCCAUCCAUCCUAGUGAGUCUUUACAGUCUCAUCCAUCCAAACACUGAACGGGAUGAAUCUUUUGCACGUACUUCUGAAAGUACCUCAGAGCAGAGCAGUUUUUGAAGUCUGAUGCAAACGUGCCAAUUAUUGUAGGUCAUUCUGGUAGAACUGCCUUCUCACCACUAGAGGUCAGAAAUGCAAAUUUUCUUUUCUAAAUUUGAAUCAAAACUCAUAAUUACGAUUCAACAAUAAUGUUAAAAUUGUGGCUCUGAAUAAACAAUACUUUAUAAAUUAUACUUUCAGAAAACGUUAUAAGCUGCAGAUAUAAGAUAUUUAUCAAAUACAUAAUAAUAGGUAAGAUACAAUUAUAAAAAAUAUUAAUUUGUUGUUAAUUUUAUGCAUAAAUUAGCAUGCAAAUUAACUUUGUACAGGUCACAUCAAUACAGCAGCAUUGAUAUACAUGCAGCAGCCCCGGAUGAUUCACAGUGUGAUUUCAUGAAAUGCUGAAAACAAAAACAAUAAUGUUGAAUGUAAAACUAUAACAAAUAAAUAAAUAAAUACAUUGACAAAGAAACUCAUAUUUAAUUUUUUUUAGCAUAAUAGUAGUAGUAGCCCUUUAUUGUCACUAGUCAAAAGUACCAGUGAUAAUGAUUCUGCUGUAGUAAUGGUGGUGACUGACCAUCUGGAUGGUUGGACAAGUCAAGUCACCUUUAGUUAUAUAGCGCUUUAAACAAAAUACAUUGCUUCAAAGUAACAGAACAACAUUCAUUAGGAAAACAGUGUGUCAAUAAUGCAAAAUGAUAGUUAAAGGCAGUUCAUCAUUGAAUUCAGGGAUGU